RNAcentral lists this microRNA precursor (65 nucleotides) under Capra hircus (goat). Its description in RNAcentral is "miRNA (ENSCHIG00010008024.1)". The record is from RNAcentral. Lineage: Eukaryota; Metazoa; Chordata; Mammalia; Artiodactyla; Bovidae.
CAGCUAGUAUUCUCACUCCAGUUGCAUAGUCACAAAAGUGAUCACUGGCAGGUGUGGCCGCUGCA